RNAcentral lists this ribosomal RNA (215 nucleotides) under Fusarium oxysporum. Its description in RNAcentral is "partial small subunit ribosomal RNA". Lineage: Eukaryota; Fungi; Ascomycota; Sordariomycetes; Hypocreales; Nectriaceae. The record is from RNAcentral.
CAAGUAGUCUUUGCAGUAAAUGAUGAAUGCCAUAGGUUAGAUUAAUAGUUAAUGUUUAUAGGCUAAUUAUUGGCUUAGCUUAGCAAACUAAUGCUAUAGACUAGACAUUAAAAAUUAUUUGGUCUAUAAAUGAAAGUGUAAGCAUUUCACCUCAAGAGUAAUGUGGCAACGCAGGAACUGAAAUCACUAGACCGUUUCUGACACCAGUAGUGAAG